CCAUAUAGACUACAUCCGAGGAACUCACAAAGUAAAUACUCUCGAGCCCUCAUAUACCUAUACCAUUAUUUUACCCUUCUCAUAAUACCUAUAUUGUUUCCGAAUAGUUUGUACUUAGACAUCGAAGGCUUCCUGUUGGACAUUUUCCAACUUCCAUUGUACUGUUUCAAGUCAGAUUUGAUACUAUCGCGAAGGUGUUCUGUCACGCCCUCGACCCGAGAUUUGAAUCGAGGGUUAUGGCAACCACCGCAUACUUAUAGAAAACCUUUUCCAUA
RNAcentral lists this long non-coding RNA (275 nucleotides) under Elaeis guineensis (African oil palm). RNAcentral describes it as "long non-coding RNA (EGUI_LNC074617)". The record is from RNAcentral. Lineage: Eukaryota; Viridiplantae; Streptophyta; Magnoliopsida; Arecales; Arecaceae.